Molecule: transfer RNA, 87 nt
Filed under: Alphaproteobacteria bacterium
Lineage: Bacteria; Pseudomonadati; Pseudomonadota; Alphaproteobacteria
Description: tRNA-Leu
Rfam family: tRNA
About the family: Transfer RNA (tRNA) molecules are approximately 80 nucleotides in length. Their secondary structure includes four short double-helical elements and three loops (D, anti-codon, and T loops).
Source: RNAcentral
GCCCCUGUGGCGGAAUUGGUAGACGCGGCAGACUCAAAAUCUGUUGUCUGUAAGGACGUGGGAGUUCGAGUCUCCCCGGGGGCACCA